AAAUUGAAGAGUUUGAUCAUGGCUCAGAUUGAACGCUGGCGGCAGGCCUAACACAUGCAAGUCGAGCGGUAGCACAGAGAGCUUGCUCUCGGGUGACGAGCGGCGGACGGGUGAGUAAUGUCUGGGAAACUGCCUGAUGGAGGGGGAUAACUACUGGAAACGGUAGCUAAUACCGCAUAAUGUCGCAAGACCAAAGUGGGGGACCUUCGGGCCUCAUGCCAUCAGAUGUGCCCAGAUGGGAUUAGCUAGUAGGUGGGGUAACGGCUCACCUAGGCGACGAUCCCUAGCUGGUCUGAGAGGAUGACCAGCCACACUGGAACUGAGACACGGUCCAGACUCCUACGGGAGGCAGCAGUGGGGAAUAUUGCACAAUGGGCGCAAGCCUGAUGCAGCCAUGCCGCGUGUGUGAAGAAGGCCUUCGGGUUGUAAAGCACUUUCAGCGGGGAGGAAGGCGAUAAGGUUAAUAACCUUGUCGAUUGACGUUACCCGCAGAAGAAGCACCGGCUAACUCCGUGCCAGCAGCCGCGGUAAUACGGAGGGUGCAAGCGUUAAUCGGAAUUACUGGGCGUAAAGCGCACGCAGGCGGUCUGUCAAGUCGGAUGUGAAAUCCCCGGGCUCAACCUGGGAACUGCAUUCGAAACUGGCAGGCUAGAGUCUUGUAGAGGGGGGUAGAAUUCCAGGUGUAGCGGUGAAAUGCGUAGAGAUCUGGAGGAAUACCGGUGGCGAAGGCGGCCCCCUGGACAAAGACUGACGCUCAGGUGCGAAAGCGUGGGGAGCAAACAGGAUUAGAUACCCUGGUAGUCCACGCUGUAAACGAUGUCGAUUUGGAGGUUGUGCCCUUGAGGCGUGGCUUCCGGAGCUAACGCGUUAAAUCGACCGCCUGGGGAGUACGGCCGCAAGGUUAAAACUCAAAUGAAUUGACGGGGGCCCGCACAAGCGGUGGAGCAUGUGGUUUAAUUCGAUGCAACGCGAAGAACCUUACCUGGUCUUGACAUCCACAGAACUUAGCAGAGAUGCUUUGGUGCCUUCGGGAACUGUGAGACAGGUGCUGCAUGGCUGUCGUCAGCUCGUGUUGUGAAAUGUUGGGUUAAGUCCCGCAACGAGCGCAACCCUUAUCCUUUGUUGCCAGCGGUUAGGCCGGGAACUCAAAGGAGACUGCCAGUGAUAAACUGGAGGAAGGUGGGGAUGACGUCAAGUCAUCAUGGCCCUUACGACCAGGGCUACACACGUGCUACAAUGGCAUAUACAAAGAGAAGCGACCUCGCGAGAGCAAGCGGACCUCAUAAAGUAUGUCGUAGUCCGGAUUGGAGUCUGCAACUCGACUCCAUGAAGUCGGAAUCGCUAGUAAUCGUAGAUCAGAAUGCUACGGUGAAUACGUUCCCGGGCCUUGUACACACCGCCCGUCACACCAUGGGAGUGGGUUGCAAAAGAAGUAGGUAGCUUAACCUUCGGGAGGGCGCUUACCACUUUGUGAUUCAUGACUGGGGUGAAGUCGUAACAAGGUAACCGUAGGGGAACCUGCGGUUGGAUCACCUCCUUACCUUAAAGAA
RNAcentral lists this ribosomal RNA (1550 nucleotides) under Klebsiella variicola. RNAcentral's name for it is "bacterial SSU rRNA". It matches the Rfam family "Bacterial small subunit ribosomal RNA". The record is from RNAcentral. Lineage: Bacteria; Pseudomonadati; Pseudomonadota; Gammaproteobacteria; Enterobacterales; Enterobacteriaceae.